GACGAACGCUGGCGGCGUGCUUAACACAUGCAAGUCGAACGGAAAGGCCCUGCUUGCCGGGUACUCGAGUGGCGAACGGGUGAGUAACACGUGGGUGAUCUGCCCUGCACUUCGGGAUAAGCCUGGGAAACUGGGUCUAAUACCGGAUAGGAGCCAUUUUUAGUGUGAUGGUUGGAAAGUUUUUUCGGUGUAGGAUGAGCUCGCGGCCUAUCAGCUUGUUGGUGGGGUAAUGGCCUACCAAGGCGGCGACGGGUAGCCGGCCUGAGAGGGUGGACGGCCACAUUGGGACUGAGAUACGGCCCAGACUCCUACGGGAGGCAGCAGUGGGGAAUAUUGCACAAUGGGCGCAAGCCUGAUGCAGCGACGCCGCGUGGGGGAUGACGGCCUUCGGGUUGUAAACUCCGUUCGCUAGGGACGAAGCUUUUUGUGACGGUACCUAGAGAAGAAGCACCGGCUAACUACGUG
This 465-nucleotide ribosomal RNA is filed under the name uncultured bacterium. Its description in RNAcentral is "partial 16S ribosomal RNA". It matches the Rfam family "Bacterial small subunit ribosomal RNA", at positions 28 to 507 of the family's 1533-position model. The record is from RNAcentral.